RNAcentral lists this ribosomal RNA (429 nucleotides) under Verrucomicrobiota bacterium. RNAcentral's name for it is "Verrucomicrobia bacterium partial 16S ribosomal RNA". It matches the Rfam family "Bacterial small subunit ribosomal RNA", at positions 355 to 776 of the family's 1533-position model. The record is from RNAcentral. Lineage: Bacteria; Pseudomonadati; Verrucomicrobiota.
UAGGGAAUCUUCCGCAAUGGACGAAAGUCUGACGGAGCAACGCCGCGUGAGUGAAGAAGGAUUUCGGUUCGUAAAACUCUGUUGUUAGGGACGAAAAAAUGUAUAGUAACUAUAUACAAAAGAGACGGUACCUAACCAGAAAGCCACGGCUAACUACGUGCCAGCAGCCGCGGUAAUACGUAGGUGGCAAGCGUUGUCCGGAAUUAUUGGGCGUAAAGCGCGCUCCGGUGGUUUAGAAAGUCUGAUGUGAAAGCCCACGGCUCAACCGUGGAGAGUCAUUGGAAACUAAUAAACUUGAGUGCAGGAGAGAAAAGUGGAAUUCCGAGUGUAGCGGUGAAAUGCGUAGAGAUUAGGAGGAAAACCGGUGGCGAAAGCGGCUUUUUGGCCUGCAACUGACACUGAGGCGCGAAAGCGUGGGGAGCAAACAGG